UACGAGGGGAGCAAGCGUUGCUCGGAUUUACUGGGCGUAAAGGGCGCGUAGGCGGCGUGACUAGUCACUUGUGAAAUCUCCGGGCUUAACUCGGAACGGUCAAGUGAUACUGUCGUGCUAGAGUACAGAAGGGGCAACUGGAAUUCUCGGUGUAGCGGUGAAAUGCGUAGAUAUCGAGAGGAACACCUGCGGCGAAGGCGGGUUGCUGGGCUGAUACUGACGCUGAUGCGCGAAAGCCAGGGGAGCGAACGGG
This 253-nucleotide ribosomal RNA is filed under the name uncultured bacterium. RNAcentral describes it as "partial 16S ribosomal RNA". It matches the Rfam family "Bacterial small subunit ribosomal RNA", at positions 524 to 776 of the family's 1533-position model. The record is from RNAcentral.